CAAAAAUUAAGGGAAUAAAAAAAAAUGCAAAUUUUUUUUUAAUUUUUGACGGGCUGUAUUUCAGCGGAAAAUGAUCAAAUGAUUUUUUUUUUUGUUUUGCACUCAAUUUGCCUCGGCUCAUCAGUAAAUUUGAAUAA
Cotesia glomerata is the source of this 137-nucleotide long non-coding RNA. RefSeq lists it as uncharacterized. The transcript is spliced from 2 exons. Lineage: Eukaryota; Metazoa; Arthropoda; Insecta; Hymenoptera; Braconidae. The record is from RefSeq and is a predicted model, not a curated record.